GUAUAAGAUCGACCGCCGCACGACUUUGAUGAAUCAUCAGACCUUGCAUGGAAAUUUCCCCUUGCUUCUUUAAUUGAUUGAUGUGUUUCCACACGUCCUUUUUUUUUGGAAAAUCUAAUUAGCACCGUCGCACCAUGUCUUUCCGGUGCAUACAGGUCCGAGCAUUAAAAAAAGGCACCCGUCGCUUUCAACUUGCUCCACAACAACGUGGACUCUAUAUAUGCAUGCAUGCGGGCUGAAAAAAUGAUUUAUCUCACAGAUUAAUAAUUUGAUUGAAGAUUCAUCUUUACGUUAGGUUCGUCUCGACGAGAUCUUCAAGAUAAGAUCCCAUGUUGACAUGUUUCGUUGAUUUUUUUUCAUCAUUCCUAGUUGCCACAUUUAUGUCAUAAUAUUUGUCAUCUUACGGAUAUGCAGUUGUCAUAAAAAUUAUACACAGUUACCAAUAUUACAGUGUUAUGUGGAGCUAAAAAUAAACAAGUAAAUGCAUUAACCAGCACAAGCACAACGAAUCAAGUAUUUUAGUGGGGUAUAUCGACAUUCAUAAACCUGAUAACCAAGUUAAUUUAAUGCGAGAACUAUGUAAAAA
Molecule: long non-coding RNA, 586 nt
Filed under: Hordeum vulgare
Lineage: Eukaryota; Viridiplantae; Streptophyta; Magnoliopsida; Poales; Poaceae
Description: long non-coding RNA (HVUL_LNC011992)
Source: RNAcentral